GAACUUGUGAAUGUUGUCGACCCAAUAAUUUGACAAGUUUAUAAAUCCUCUAUCAUGAUACAAGAAGAUAAAGUGAUGGUACACUUAAUCUUUCAAAGUGAUGUUGAGGUGUGUCAUGGAAAUAUGAUGAAUUUUAAAGUCAUGACAAUGUGCUUAUAAUGCAAAUUUAUGAAAUACAAAUAAAUAAUUAGUCCAUUCCUUGAAGAUAAUGUGACUUGUGAUGAGUAUGGUGAAUGCUCGACCAUUCUAUAUGAGAAUGGGUCCAGAUAUGAUAAAAUCAUUAUGGGUUGGAUAUAUGUUACAACUCACCUCUAUGGAAGGUUUGAGAAAAAAUGAUACAUGUCACUUCUCAUCUCUACGGGAGAUUUGAGAGGAAAUAAAUUUUAUUUGGCAGAAAUGGCUAAUUGUAUUGUACGUUUUAUACGUCACUAUGAUAUAAACUACCGAAAGGGCAAAAGAAAGAAAUAGUUCUUGCCUAUAAGGGUUGUGGUCAGUAUUGUGUGGCAAUACAAAUUUGUCAUUGGUUGUGCACCUAUGGUACAACAAAAGUAAAGCAAGAAAGACGUCUUGCUCGUAAUGAUUUUGACCAUGACAAUAAUAAUAUAUUUCCUCCUUGAAGGAGAUGCUCACAAUAGGGAUGGUGUCAUGCAAUAUGUGAUAGUACACAAAAUUAAUUGCAAGCUCGAACGAGUUGUGCUAUUAUUAGAGGAAUAAUAUUGGGGUUGUAGUAAGUCUCAAAAGUAACUUUUUAAGUUUCGGAUGAAUGAAAAUAAAUAUUGAGACUAUAAAUCACUACAACCGAAGAGGGUUAUAAUGUUUAUGUAAAAGAUUACCCCACUUUUCCUCUUGUUUGUUCCAUACAAACAUGUACAUGCUGAUGAAAUCACGUGUAAAAGUAAAUUAUAAGUGUACUAAAAUAAAGAUCAGUUGGCAUGACUGGUUGACCAUUCCGAUUAAAUGUAAUGCAAACGUGAUUGAGAAUUCAGGUGAUUUAUAUGAUGAAGAAAUAAAGAUUCUUCAAGAAUUCUCUUGUAUUGCUUGUUCUCUUGAUAAAAUGAUCAUUGUACCAGCUAAGAUCGGGACUGUAAUCCCCUAAAAUUUUUGGAACAUAUAAAAGGGUGAAUAUGGGCCCGUUCACCUGUCAUGUGGAUCAUUUGCAACUAUAUGAUUAAUGCAUCUAUGCGAUGGUCACAUGUAUUUUGUUGUCAACUUACAAAUUGGUUUUUGUAAGGUUGUUUGCUCGAAUUGUUAAAAUUAAGAGCAUAGUUCCAAAUUAUGAAAUUAUAUUGAUAAUGCUGGUUGAUUUAGCAGAAAUUGUAUGCCUCCAAUUA
This 1331-nucleotide long non-coding RNA is filed under the name Solanum lycopersicum (tomato). RNAcentral describes it as "partial TCONS_00109222". The record is from RNAcentral. Lineage: Eukaryota; Viridiplantae; Streptophyta; Magnoliopsida; Solanales; Solanaceae.